ACGAAGGGUGCAAGCGUUACUCGGAAUUACUGGGCGUAAAGCGUGCGUAGGUGGUUCGUUAAGUCUGAUGUGAAAGCCCUGGGCUCAACCUGGGAAUGGCAUUGGAUACUGGCGACCUAGAGUGCGGUAGAGGGGUGUGGAAUUCCCGGUGUAGCAGUGAAAUGCGUAGAUAUGCGGAGGAACACCGAUGGCGAAGGCAAUCCCCUGGGCCUGCACUGACGCUCAUGCACGAAAGCGUGGGGAGCAAACAGGA
RNAcentral lists this ribosomal RNA (253 nucleotides) under uncultured prokaryote. RNAcentral's name for it is "partial 16S ribosomal RNA". It matches the Rfam family "Bacterial small subunit ribosomal RNA", at positions 525 to 777 of the family's 1533-position model. The record is from RNAcentral.